GACUGAUGGGGUCCCCAUGGCAGACAGAGGCCUUCCUCUCCCAGUCCACCCAGGUGCUUUCGCACCUGCACGAUGUAGUCACAAUCUUCCACCUCGAACGCGAUGUCCUUCACUCCGUCACCGUGUUUCACCAGGCCCUGAACCCAGAGCCCACCCACGGAGCCAUGCGUCCACCCUCCCAGAACCCAGACCCCACCCACAGAGUCAUGCGUCCACCCUCCCCGGGCACCUCACCUUUGUUCCAGGGGUUGAGCGCUGAGGAGAGGACAAACACAAUCUAAGAUACAAGGAGAAGGAGGUUUUCUGAGCACCUGUGGGGUCAGUGUUGUGCCAGGCUGAGGAGGAAACGAAACUAGGAAGGACCCUGUUGCAUGGUUGUAAAAGAUGCCAGUGGAGGGGUCGGUGGGAGCUGAAUUAUAUGUUUUUGUUG
This 430-nucleotide non-coding RNA is filed under the name Pongo abelii (Sumatran orangutan). Lineage: Eukaryota; Metazoa; Chordata; Mammalia; Primates; Hominidae. The record is from RNAcentral.